UACUCUUGGCAGUGGAUCACUCGGCUCGUACAUCGAUGAAGGACGCAGCUAGCUGCAAGAACUAAUAUGAAUUGCAGGACACCUUGAUCAUCAACACUUCAAACGCACCUUGCGGCCCUGGGUCUUUCCUGGGGCCAUGCAUGUCUGAGGGUUG
RNAcentral lists this ribosomal RNA (154 nucleotides) under Erpetoichthys calabaricus (reedfish). RNAcentral describes it as "5.8S ribosomal RNA (ENSECRG00000020488.1)". It matches the Rfam family "5.8S ribosomal RNA". From Rfam's summary of the family: 5.8S ribosomal RNA (5.8S rRNA) is a component of the large subunit of the eukaryotic ribosome. It is transcribed by RNA polymerase I as part of the 45S precursor that also contains 18S and 28S rRNA. The record is from Rfam by way of RNAcentral. Lineage: Eukaryota; Metazoa; Chordata; Cladistia; Polypteriformes; Polypteridae.